CUAGCUUGACCGUGACACUGAAGACACUUUCUGUUUUAAUCAGUGUGAAAACUGAUUUCCACACUUCGGUGUGGUUUUUUUUCACAUUCAUUUUUUACACUGACUAUUGGACUGGUUUCCGAGGGCCCAGCACUUCUCCCUUGUGAAGCCUAACUUCU
RNAcentral lists this small nuclear RNA (158 nucleotides) under Saprolegnia parasitica CBS 223.65. RNAcentral describes it as "U2 spliceosomal RNA". It matches the Rfam family "U2 spliceosomal RNA". Rfam says of the family: U2 is a small nuclear RNA (snRNA) component of the spliceosome (involved in pre-mRNA splicing). Complementary binding between U2 snRNA (in an area lying towards the 5' end but 3' to hairpin I) and the branchpoint sequence (BPS) of the intron results the bulging out of an unpaired adenosine, on the BPS, which initiates a nucleophilic attack at the intronic 5' splice site, thus starting the first of two transesterification reactions that mediate splicing. Lineage: Eukaryota; Oomycota; Saprolegniomycetes; Saprolegniales; Saprolegniaceae. The record is from Rfam by way of RNAcentral.